RNA transcript from Cercocebus atys (sooty mangabey), 2941 nucleotides. It is a transcript of the gene named golgin subfamily A member 2-like, with no coding region annotated. Lineage: Eukaryota; Metazoa; Chordata; Mammalia; Primates; Cercopithecidae. The record is from RefSeq and is a predicted model, not a curated record. The transcript has 18 exons.
AUGAGGCCCACUUGCGCCAAAGCUGUGCUCUUACCUGCAGGUACUGCCAUAGAACAGACUCUAACACCAGCUUCAAAACACCCUCCAUUUAAACCAGCUGUGAGCUCCGCAGUACAGUGCACAGGCAGGACACAUGCUUACCACCGAGGCCUCUGUGGACCAGAGCAGACAGGAAAUUUGAUGUAUUCUUUCCAUCCUGGGAAUGGACAUAAUGAUAGUCGGAGGACUGUGUUUUAUACCAAUGAAGAGUGGGAAUUUUUAGACCCAACCCCUAAGGACCUAGAGGAGUCCAUAGUACAGGAAGAAAAGAAGAAGCCGAGCCCUGAAGGAAACAAAGUUUCACAAAGGCUGAAAAAUUUGCCUCAUACUUCCCUCAAAGCCAAACAGUUGCUUCAAACUUCAUCUACAAAUAGAGGAAAAGAGUGCCACCAAAAGCAGGGAGCUCUAAGGGAGCAGUUACAGGUUCACAUUCAGAAUGUAGAAAUCCUUGUAUCAGAGAAAGCCAAGUUACAGACAGCCCUGGCUCACACUCAGCAUGCUGCCAGGCAGAAAGAAGGAGAGUCCGAAGAUCUGGCCAGCUGCCUGUAGUAUUCCUGGCAGUGUGUGGGAGAGUUGGAGCAGGCUCUUUGCUGUCUCCAUACAGGAGAAGAAAGCAGACAGGUACAACAAGGAGUUAACCAAAGAGAGAAACACCCUCAGGCUGGAGUUACACAAGAACAGAUUUUUCAUUUCUAAAACAAAGAAACUUGACAGCAGAGUUGUAUUGACUGAGUUGUACACUGAGCCUAGCCCUAGCCCUUUUAAGGGGCACUGUUGGAACGGCCCAGGCUCCCAGAAUCUAAACUUCUCACUCUUCACUAUCUGGUUUUCAAGGCACUGUGAAGGCCCUGAUACUAAACAGCAGUUACUGCAGGCCAUGGAGGAGCGGGCAUAGCUGGAAGCACACCUGGGGCAGGUAAUGGAGUCAGUUGGACAACUACAAAUGGAGAGAGAGACGUAUGCUGAAAAUCUGAAAGGAGGGAGUGCCAUGUGGCAGCAGAGGAUGCAGUAGAUGUCAGAGCAGGUGCGCACAUUGAGAGAGGAGAAGGAGCAUAGCAUGAGUUGGGUAUAAGAACUGGAAAUGAGCUUGGCUGAACUGAGUAACCAAAUGGCCGUGCCCCUGGAACUCCAAGCAGGGCCCUCCAGGGUGGAGCAGCAGCUACAAGCAGAGGCUGGCCACCUGCAGAAGGAACUGGAGAGCCUGGCAGCUCCAAGCCCAGGAGCAAGACACUGAGGGCUUCAGUCACCCGAACCAGGAGUGGGAGGAGAGGCUGCUGGAGCUGCAGCAGGUGGCCAAGCUCUUGGGGGAGCAGGCAGAGUUGCACAGACAAAUCUUGGAGACCAUGCAGAAUGACUGCACCACCAUCAGCCGCGUGCUCACCCAGAACCACGAGCUCAAGGAGCAACUGUCUGAGCUGCAGAAUGGAUUCAUAAAGCUGGUGUGUGACCCCAUCAGGAGAGCCUGCCCUCCUCCCUAUGGUGGGCUCCUCCCAGGUCUGAACAUCAUCAUCGCGGCUAGAGUCAUGGAGCCCCCCAAACAUAGGGAAAGAGACGGUGGAGAAGGAGGGGCUGCACAACCAGUUACUGCUGUAGACCCAGUUCGUGGACCAGCUGCAGCAGCAGGAAGCUCAAAGCAAAGCAGUGGUCAAGAUGGCCUGCCAAGAGUUGCGGGAGACCCAGGAGAUGGACUGGACAGUGAGGAGGAGGUGGAGGUGCCUCAGCCCAUGCCGAGCAUCCUGGAGGACCUAGAGAGCCAGAAGGCCAUGGGGGCAUUUUUCAACUCAGCUGUAGCUAGUGCCCAGGAGGAGCAGGCACGGCUACGUGGGCAGCUGAAGGAGUGCACUGCCAGCGCAUGGCUCAUCUGCUGGCCUCGGCCCAGAAGGAACCUGAGGUGGCAGCCCCAGCCCCAGGAACUGGGGGCAAUUCCAUGUGUGGGGAGACCCACUGGGCCCUGCAGGCGGCCAUGGAGAGGCUGUAGAGCCGCUUUAUGGAGCUCAUGCAGGAGAAGGUGGACUUGAAGGAGAUGGUGGAGGAACUGGAACAUCGCUUCAUCUAGCUGUCUGGAGAGACAGACAUCAUCGGGGAGUGGGAAGCCAGGGCACAGCAAGGAGAGCUGCACAUCGGUCAGAGGGGCCCCAGCGUCUGAGCCCUGUCCUCCUGUAGGAGAGUACAUCGCAGUGUACCAGAGCCAGAGGGCAGUGCUGAAGGAGCAGCACCAGGAGAAGGAGUGCAUCGGCAGGCUGGCCCAGGACAAGGGACGAGAUGAAGGUGAAGCUGCUGGAGCUUUUUGCUGCUUGUGAGCGACUGCAACGAGUAGCAUGGAAGAUCCCUGGCAGCUGCCCAGAACCCUGCUGAUGAGCCCACUCCAGAGGUCCCAGCCCCCCAGCAGCUUGGGGCUGCUGACAAGCAGGGUAGUGAGUAAAGCCCUCAGGCAGGGUGGGCACACAGGAGGGCUCGCACAGCGCCCUGCCUCCCUCUCUCCAAAGAUCUUUGCGAGGUGAGCCUUGCCAGCAGCGGGGAGCCUGUGCAAGGAGAGGCAGGGAAGGGUUCUCCCUGCGGUAACCCCACUGCGCAGCAGAUCAUACCGCUGCUUUAUGGAGAUGCAGAACCUCCAGGAGCACCCAAGCUUGGGCAGCAGCCCUUGCAUUCCUUUUUUGUACCAGACUGCCGAGAAUGAUGAGGUGAAGAUCACCAUCAUCUAAAAGCCGGCCACUGUCAGCAAAAUCUGGAGAAGUGGGGCUGGAGGCUCUGCCUCUACUGUGCCCCUACCACCCCUUCCCAGUCAACCCUUUACCCUUACAGUAGCAAGCAUAAGACCCCUGUCUAAUGUGGAGAGACGGGUGGAGAUGAGGUGAAGAUCACCAUAAUCUAAAAGGCCACUAAAUAAAAUAAAUUUUAAAAA